RNAcentral lists this ribosomal RNA (119 nucleotides) under Pteropus alecto (black flying fox). Lineage: Eukaryota; Metazoa; Chordata; Mammalia; Chiroptera; Pteropodidae. The record is from RNAcentral.
GUCUACGGCCACGCCACCCUGAACGUGCCCGAUCCCAUGUGAUCUCAGAAGCUAAGCAGGGUCGGACCUGGUUAGUACUUCGAUGGGAGACCACCUAGGAAGAUCAGGUGCUGUAGAUG